Long non-coding RNA from Triticum aestivum (bread wheat), 944 nucleotides. RefSeq lists it as uncharacterized. Lineage: Eukaryota; Viridiplantae; Streptophyta; Magnoliopsida; Poales; Poaceae. The record is from RefSeq and is a predicted model, not a curated record. The transcript is spliced from 3 exons.
UUGCGCGAGUGUUGUUGCAUCACUGGUUCACUGGCCUGUCCACAUUGGCAUUUUAUCAAACAGCUAGUGUCCCUGCUAUACGAAGCAAAAGGCCCCUAACGGUGGCCGGCGCUUCCCGGCUUUCUCGUCAGAUCACGGUCGCUUCACGCCGCCACCGCCGCCGCCGCCGGUGCCUCUGCCGCAACAAAGGAGAUCCUUCAGUAUGCUGAUGAAAGGAGUUGCACCAAUUCCAAGGCCAAUAAGGAAAAGGAUGUCGUAUUUCUUGUAAUUUUGAGCUGGUGCACCGAAAGGGCCAUCAACAAAGAUCUUGGGAAAUCUAAAUAAAGAAAGCCAAGUCACUAAAGUUAGUGCAAUAUCGCCUAUAUACAUAUCCUCAAGCAAUUCCUUAAGAAAGCUUAAGGUUCCUUAGUUCUGUUGUCCAGUCACCUAAUGUGCGGAUAUGUACACUCAAGUAGUCGUCCCCAGGUGCAGAGGUGAUGGAGAAGGGAUGCCUGCAAACAUUGAAGAAAAUUUUGAAGCCAAAGCCUUGGAAAACUCGUAACUUGGAAAAUAUGGAUGAUGGGAUGGUACCAUUCAAAAGGCGAGACGUCUGGGCAUUUUACAAAGAGGUACAUCCCACUUUUGUAUUUGAAACUUGAUGGCUUCUUCAUGUAAAGAGAGAGAACAUUUCCUGGGUAAAUUGCUGCCUGCAUGACACAUAGAACCAUGCAUAAUAUUACCAGUUCUCUUGUGAUACUUGCACUUUAAAAUGUAUACUGAGGAAACUUGUAUGUUGUAUACUUGUAGAAUCUAUAGCUUACCUUGAUGACAGUCACUCCAUAAUUCUUCUCACGAACUCUUCUGGUGGCUCUCUCGCUGGCAUAGAAGAUAACAGGAACUGCUAUGUACAUCCAUCCCUGUAGAAGCACAUCCAAAGUUACAAUUUCAAUUUAUGCACAUUCAUA